Long non-coding RNA from Coturnix japonica (Japanese quail), 1711 nucleotides. The record is from Ensembl. NCBI's taxonomy places the organism in Eukaryota, Metazoa, Chordata, Aves, Galliformes, Phasianidae.
UCCCCUUAGGAAUGUCCACAAGGACACCAUUUUGUCCCAGCAUUGCCAUGUUCAUUUUAUCUAGUGUGUAUGUGUUACUAUCACAUCAUGAAGGUCAGAGACAGAAAAGUGAGACUGAAAUAAGAAGGAACAGUGAUGCCAAAGAGGUACCUGUAUGCAUCUUAAUGCACACAGUUUGCACUUACUUUAAUACUUUCAAAAGCGGAGAACUGUAUGUAAUCUGGCAUUUGUAAAGUAAAUCUGAAGAUUUGCAGAGAAAUCCAGGCUAUCAGUAGGAAUAAUAUCCCCAGUUACUGAGCCUGCUAGAAAUAUUCGGCAUCUGUAGGUAUUAAAAAUCUUGGAGACAGGACAAAAAAUAUCAGCCAUGAGCAAAAAUACAAUACAUAUUUCUGUGUGUUCAGCAGGUAAAUAAAACAAUGCCAUAAGGCUUGCAAGAUAUUUGGAGGAAGGUCAGAAAAGUUCAGGAGAAGAUUUUGUUUCAUGAUGAAGUGCUCCCUGAAGAUCUGCCUCAUCCACAAAUUAGUUGCAGAAGGAGCCACAAACAGUGAAAGACUUCCAGUGACAGAGGCACAAAGCAAUUGGGCAUUGUGCACAACCACCAUCCUGCCCUCCAUCCUGGAACACCCCACCAUCCCACAGGGAUGCUGCAGGAAAUGGAGUCACAGCCUGCUCAGCCACUGCCUGCGAGCCCACAGGCAUUGUAGGAAGUGACUCUUACUACAGAAAACUCUCCAGAUAACCUCGGAGGGGGUAAGCUAUGCUGAUCGCACUCCUACAUCCAAGCUUUUUGCCUAUCUCCCAAAACACUUCUGUUGCUUUUUCUACAAAACAGCAGGAAAAAGGUUUUAAGGCAUCAGAAACGUUUGUGGUCUUUGUGUAAUAAUAAGUAGAUUUAAAGUACAUUUCUAUGUGAUACACAGUAUAGAUAAGCAAAGAUUUCAACCCAGCUUCAUUAAUAUUAGAGAUAGCUUAAGACCAUUUUUGUUCAGAAUACAUUGAACGUGGAAGUUACACACUUUCCUGUAAUGAGAAGAUGUAAAAAUAGUUAUGCAUGUUAAAAUGCUGUCACAUCUUCUUUUAAUUAAGUAUUACUAAGCUGCCCUGAUACGGUCAUUUUUGUGUCCUAUGAGUCAGCUGCACCAUAAAGGUCCUUCAGAUUUCUAUUUAAUUUGAAAUGUCCAUGGGUUUAAUAGACUGGAAUAAGACAGGAAACGUCCUGAGUUUUCUAACAAAUCUCACACCUGUUUGGCGUCCCAUAAACAACAUUUUGUUGAAUCUGCCUUCAAAUUCCUUGCACUUCUGUGAAUAUUUUCAGCCUAAAUAGAAGUAGACAGAAGCAGACAGGACCAAGGAUCUCUAAAGGAAGCUCUCUGUCUCUCUUUUGCAAGUUUUCCUGGAUGAAUUCACAGAACCAGUCGUGCAAACUUUUUUAUUUGUUACAGCUGCAGACUUGCAAUCAGUUGAUCCAUAAACUUUCUAAGUGAACAAUUUGGUGGGUGACCAAAGGUAGAACUUCCCCUAAAGCAGGUAGAGAGAGAGACAGUUCCAUGGGAACUGUUUUUAUUUUGAUGGAAACAACACUGCAAUAAUAAGUUACAGGAGGAAACAGAAAUUUAAAACUCAUAUAAUAGAAGAAACAUCUGUGUGACCUAACUUUGUUAUUCAAUAUAAAAAUCCUGUUCAAUAACUUCCCUAACAUAUUACCUAUUAU